AGAGUUUGAUCCUGGCUCAGAGCGAACGCUGGCGGCAGGCCUAACACAUGCAAGUCGAGCGCCGUAGCAAUACGGAGCGGCAGACGGGUGAGUAACGCGUGGGAACGUGCCCUUCGGUUCGGAAUAACUCAGGGAAACUUGAGCUAAUACCGAAUACGUCCGAAAGGAGAAAGAUUUAUCGCCGAAGGAUCGGCCCGCGUAAGAUUAGCUAGUUGGUGAGGUAACGGCUCACCAAGGCUCUGAUCUUUAGCCUGGUCUGAGAGGACGAUCAGCCACACUGGGACUGAGACACGGCCCAGACUCCUACGGGAGGCAGCAGUGGGGAAUAUUGGACAAUGGGCGCAAGCCUGAUCCAGCCAUGCCGCGUGAGUGAUGAAGGCCUUAGGGUUGUAAAGCUCUUUUGGCAGGGACGAUAAUGACUGUACCUGCAGAAUAAGCAC
Molecule: ribosomal RNA, 440 nt
Filed under: uncultured bacterium
Lineage: Bacteria
Description: bacterial SSU rRNA
Rfam family: Bacterial small subunit ribosomal RNA
Source: RNAcentral